UACGAAGGGGGCUAGCGUUGCUCGGAAUCACUGGGCGUAAAGGGUGCGUAGGCGGGUUUUUAAGUCAGGGGUGAAAUCCUGGAGCUCAACUCCAGAACUGCCUUUGAUACUGAAAAUCUUGAGUAUGGGAGAGGUGAGUGGAACUGCGAGUGUAGAGGUGAAAUUCGUAGAUAUUCGCAAGAACACCAGUGGCGAAGGCGGCUCACUGGCCCAUAACUGACGCUGAGGCACGAAAGCGUGGGGAGCAAACAGG
RNAcentral lists this ribosomal RNA (253 nucleotides) under uncultured bacterium. Its description in RNAcentral is "partial 16S ribosomal RNA". It matches the Rfam family "Bacterial small subunit ribosomal RNA", at positions 524 to 776 of the family's 1533-position model. The record is from RNAcentral.